RNAcentral lists this ribosomal RNA (116 nucleotides) under Phaeoacremonium sp. CBS 122684. RNAcentral describes it as "partial 18S ribosomal RNA". It matches the Rfam family "Eukaryotic small subunit ribosomal RNA", at positions 1717 to 1830 of the family's 1831-position model. RNAcentral also lists the same sequence under 1 other name. Lineage: Eukaryota; Fungi; Ascomycota; Sordariomycetes; Togniniales; Togniniaceae. The record is from RNAcentral.
GGCCCAGGGAGGUCGGCAACGACCACCCAGGGCCGGAAAGUCAUCCAAACUCGGUCGUUUAGAGGAAGUAAAAGUCGUAACAAGGUCUCCGUUGGUGAACCAGCGGAGGGAUCAUU